Molecule: non-coding RNA, 1112 nt
Organism: Cajanus cajan (pigeon pea)
Lineage: Eukaryota; Viridiplantae; Streptophyta; Magnoliopsida; Fabales; Fabaceae
Source: RefSeq, a predicted model, not a curated record
UUCAUGAUAGUUUGAACCUUUAAUUAGUGUUAGAAGCUAUUGUUAAUAAUUGUGAAUGUUCCUGGUUAUUAUGGAUUCAUUUUUAUAGUUGUAACCAUGAUUAAUUUGUUUUCUUUGACAUUUUGGUCAAUAAAGUAUACUCUACUAUUUUUGUCCAAGAUUGUUUAAAACUUUUGACAACUGAGUAUUAUUCGCAUGAUAGCAAGUAAUUAAUUAAUAAGAUUGUUUAAUGUGAGAGCUCAUCUCAUAAAUUUAACCAUGAAACUUAUUGAAAUAAACUAAAGUAACUUAUUUUGGUAAGCUUAACCAAGAAAUUAAUUAAUAAGAAAGUAACUUAUGCAGUUGAUUUUUCAAUAGAUCAGAUUUUCGUUGCAUCAUAGUAACUUGUAUUGUUAUAUGUGGAUGUUUGGUUGAUAUCCUUUUAUUUUUUUGUGGAUUUUUAGGUUCCGUUUAAAAAAGAAAAUGGUCAAAUGGUUACAGUCCCACUUUUCCACUGGUAGCUUUGUGUUGGGAAUCUUGUGAUGAUGGUAGCUUUGGUGCCCAGCCCAUGGCUGUUUCAAGGGAGUUUCUAUUUCUGAUUUAAUAGAGACAGAUGGUGUUCUCAUACUUUUUACUUGAUUUUGGAGAAUGUCUUAUUCCCUAGUUGUUCUUCACUUAUUUUCUCUCGAAUGUGUAUAUGACUUGUUUUUUAAUGAUAAUAAUAAGGAGACUUAAAUUUGUUAUUUCUUAAUAAAUUUGCUUGAACUUUACAUUUACAUAUUCCAGUUUUAUAGUUCCUUAAUACAUCUGGCUUAGUGUAUUUAACUGUGCGCUACUUAACAAAGCAAAAGCUAUGUGCAUGCAAGGGGUUUUUCUAUUCAUCAUGUGUUUAAACAUAUCACGGUAACAGUCUUUGUUGCUUAUUAUUUUCAUUUGAUUCUUUUAGUUACUCUUUAAAGUCUUUCUUAUUAUAGAUCCUUUUUGUUUUACAUUGCAGGAGUAUGCAGCGAUAGCUUUGCAGUAUUUUCUUGGGAACCAAACUGAAACGUGUCUGUAUUCUGUUUUGCACUGGAUUUGCAGCUACGAGACUCUAUUUUCAAAAUCAUGCAGCAAAUGUUCACGGCUACUUGCCA